RNAcentral lists this transfer RNA (86 nucleotides) under Rhodococcus sp. YH1. RNAcentral describes it as "tRNA-Ser". The record is from RNAcentral. Lineage: Bacteria; Bacillati; Actinomycetota; Actinomycetes; Mycobacteriales; Nocardiaceae.
ACGCUCGGGUUGCGUCGGCGAUGCGCAGAGCGCUCGAGUCGCUCUCCGCGAUGCAAUCGGACGAGGUUCGAUUUCCCACGGACGUG